RNAcentral lists this long non-coding RNA (9508 nucleotides) under Equus caballus (horse). Its description in RNAcentral is "lncRNA (ENSECAG00000059752.1)". The record is from RNAcentral. Lineage: Eukaryota; Metazoa; Chordata; Mammalia; Perissodactyla; Equidae.
CUGCAGAAUGACAGCGCCCUGCGGGAGCAUGCUGCCCGAGCCCGUGGAAGUAUCCCCCAAAUGAGGGGCUUAGGAGAGAUGGAAGUCAGGUCUCUCUCAAUUCCAGUCCAAGCUUUGUUGGAGGACGCCCCAAGAUGCCAGCAGGGGCCUGGGGUUCACCCCGUGGGGCUCUCCACUACACCCCGUUCCACUCAGGCCACUGGAAAUCAGAAAGGGGGAGACAAAGGGAAGCCCUUCCCUUGGAGGGCAGAACCAGGAAACCCUGCCUGUCCUCCUCCUGCUCCAGCCAGAACUUAGUCACAUGGCUGCACCCAAGGGCACUCUAGUUCUGCUCUCACCAGAACACCGGGUUUGUGUUUACUACAAAAAAAGCCGACAGUGGAUAUUGGGGAACAACUGUCACUGGCAUAGCUUUUAUAUUUGUAAUUUUCCUGAUUAUGAAAGCAAUACACUCAUUGCUAAGAAUCCAGAAAUGGGUGAAGGCAACAAAGAUCAUGAAUAAUUCCGGAACUAGCCAUUGUUUAAGAUUUAUGGGGUCAUGUCAUACACAUUACUUUGUAUCCUUACUUCUCACUUAACAAUAUAACCCUGGUAAUCUUCCCGGAUCAAUAAAUCUACGUCUACAUCACCAUCGUGGUUUUUUAGAGUAUGUUUAAACAAUGAUCUAUGAAGAACUGGGCGACAGAUGUGAUUUGUAUUUAUUUGAUUACUAAAGAGGGCGAACAUCUUUUCACAUGUAUUGGCCGUUUUCCUUUCUUUUGUGAAUCGCAGUUCACAAGCUUUGUGUAUAUUUUAAAGGACCCUUCACUUUUUUCCUAUGGACUCGAAAACAUAUCCACUUUAUAUAUUACGGAUAACACAUUAGCAGGCACUUACACAGUUUAUACGCACCAAGCACUGUUCUAAGGACUCGUAACUUUCACUCGUGGGACGCUUACAAUAGUUCCACAAGGCAAGGAUUGUCAUAAUCCCCGUUAUCGGAUAAGCGAUUGGCCCAGCGGGGAAGAGGCAGACCUGGGAUUCAAGUCCUCGCUCUUAACCACUAGACGCUCCAGCUAAUGUUUUGCCUGUUAGAGAUUUCACAAAAUUGUGUUUCCAACUUCCUAACUUUCCGGGCUUCACUUAUCCGGCCAACUCCAUCAGUCCUUCCCCUCGCGGCCUUCGGGGCAGAACGGGGCCCGGGCGGGGCGGGGCGGCGUCUCCCAGCCGCCCGGCAGGCCCACCGGCUCUCGGGCGGGACCGGGACGCGCGCCGUUUGGAGGGUCGCGGCGCCGCAGGGGCCGCGGGGGCAAGUCCCCUCCGUCGCGGCGGCCCGGCGCCCCUGAGCUCGGACACCCCGCGGCGACCCGGCCGCCCCGGCCCCGGGCCCCCGCGCCCCGUCUUCCCCCGGAACUCCGGGUCCCCGGCUCCUCGUCCCCGCGGCCCACAGAACGGCUCCCGGGCGCCGCCCCCGCCCAGAGGACGGCCCCGAGGCCCCGACCGCGCGCUCCCCGGGCGCAGGGCCGUCCUAGCGGGCGUGGGGAGCCACGCUUCAGGCGACUCGAAACCAGGAGGAUUGAGGACUGCUUCGAAAGGCGGCUGCAGACGAAAGCCUCCAAAGCCUCGGGCGGCCGGCCGCCACGGCGGCGUCAUCCGCAGGAGGGGAAACUGAGGCACAGCGGGCCGGCCUUUGUGGGCGCACCGAGGACACGCCCCCAAGCCGGAGCGCGGCACCCGCCGCCCCGCGCGCCCUCGGCGGCCACGUGACGACGCCCGUCCAUCACGCGCGGGAGGCGGGACGCUGCCCCGCCACUCUCGCAGCCGUCCAAUAGGAAGCGGGGAGCAGGCAGGGAGGCGGCCCCGCGAGCCCCUCCCACGUUGGCGCCCCGCGCGGGGCGGGCCCAGCCGCCGCCCUCCAGUGGGGUCCCGGAUCGCCUGGCUCUGCUGAGGCGAAAGGGCAAGGCGCUCGUCAGUCAGGCGGCGCGGCCAAUGGGCUCGCGCGUUGCCCUCGCGCCCGCCCCCGCCUCGGCCUCCCGGCGCCCGCGCCGCCUUCCCUCAGGCCGCCGCGGCCCGCCCGCCCGCGCCUCCAUCUGGGUCCUCGCGCGCGGCUCUCGGGCGGCGGCGGACGGCGGCGGCGGGCGCGAGGACCCCGCUGUCCCCGCGGAAGACGACGGCGGGCGGCAGCCUUCUCCGCGAGCCUGAGGAUGCCUGCCACAGCAUGGCUUGACAAGCGGUGCCAUGUCUGCACCCGGGAUCCGAACCGGUGAACCCCGGACCGCGAGAAGCCAAGCGUGCACACUUCACCGCCUCACCACCGGGCCCACGCCUCACUUAAUAUUUUUAAUAGUCUGAGAAGCUUUUAUUUAGACAGUGAAGGAUCUUCUCCAUCCCAGAGUAUUAAUUGCCAAUGCUUUUUCCACGUCUAGAUGAGAGUAGAAGAAUCUGGAUCCCCAGUAGUGAGUUGUCAGCAUUGCCUUCUGUGACGUCAGGAUUAGAGUAAAGGAGGCCUGGUCACUGUGUGUGCUUUGCCUGUGCAGGUGUUCUAAGCAUUGCACAAUCACUUGAGUGGACUUCAUGAAAUACCAGAUAAAAUUGAGUCGUUCUUUUUUGAUACUAAGUCUUUGGAAUCUAGAGUGUAUUUUAUGGUUCGAGCACACCUCACUUUGGGCUAGUUGCAUUUCCAGUGCUCAAUAGUGACGUGGUUAAUGGCUACCAAGUGGAUAGUGCAAUUGGAGUGAAUUGUCUAGCUGCUUUUCAAAAAUUAGAUUUCUCCAGCUGAGUAUUUGCAGUUUCACAUUAACAGCCACAAGUGUUCCCUGUCUGUCCAUAGCCUUCUCUCAAAUGUGAGGAAAUUGCAUCAGGUGAUUCCUCAGGCUGUUUCUGGAUCUAAGAUUUAGGUAUUCUGAGGCAACUGACAACUACACUUUUGUUAAGUAUUACUUUUUGCUUCUCUAGGACUAUUUUAAGAGAGUUUAGAUCAUCUGUUUUAAAAUGACAGUAACAAUACGAUUUGGAGGCAUUUUGUUGUUUGUUAAGUAGUUAUCCUUUGCUCUGUCAUGAAGUUACACUAUGUGUUCACUUGAGAAUCCCUUCUCUCCCCUAUUUUUAAUUUGGUUAAUUACAUGAUUGCCUACUGCAUAAGAGAGAACAUUUGUCUUAGUGAAUUCACUCUUAAUACAGUGUAGACUGAAUUUUCUGCUAGGGAUAUAGUUAAUUGUAGGAAACUGGAAUUUAGAUUAAAUAAAUAGAACCUACUUUUUCUUGGCUUUGGGGGAUGUGUAGAUUAUACAGUAGGUUUUCAACCUGAGAAAAUAUCAGUAUAAUGAAGAAUAGGGAGGCCGAGAAUUUUAAAGGAUUGAGAAGUAAUGGUGUAUAUCUAAUGACCAUUAAGCAGAACAGGUCACUGAAGUGGAAUACUCUGCCUUACCAUAAAUAUUUGUGUGCAUUAUGGGGUUUGUAGCAGAAUUUACUUUUCUUAGGUAUAUGGAGGGAGCACACAAUGCACCUGUAGCACAGAAGUUGGCCCCAGGUUAGCAGUUUACAUUGGAAGGUUUAGGAAGGAAUACUGGGCAUUGACUUGGCACUAGCUACCUUUUUAAAAAAAUCUCAGUUUAGAUAAUUUGAUCCAGUCGAGAGCGUGCUGCACACCUGCUGGGUGUCUUAAGAAUGAAUCAAUCACAGGAGUUGGUCGUUUGGAAAACAUCAUCUAGUACUUACCUGUGUUUUAGGGCAAUGUUGGUGGAAUAAGAAAUCAAGAUCUUACAUUUGAUUUAGGUUAACUUUCAUUAGUGAAAGUCUAAAAACUGGACCUUGUCAAUUUCACAUGUCAACUUACAUUGAUGGGGUGAUCCACUGCUAAAAAUAUUCCAUACGCUCUGUGAAAAGAAGCAAAAUACUGUUAGAGAGUUUGCUUAGUAGUGAUGUUUUAAUAUUCAGUCAGCAUCAUCAGAUAAAUAAUUUCAUUGAUGUUCAACUGAGUAUUUGAGAUUGAAGGACAUCUAUUAAGUGGCCAAUGUUCUAAUUUUGAUUUGUAUUUGUCAGCGAGUGAAACUGAAUGAUGAGACUGAAGAAAAUAUUUUAUUUGUAAGGAAGUUUGGCAAAAGUGAAAUUUAUACAACCAUAAGAUGGCAUAUGAAUAAAGGUGUUUAAAAAUAAAACUUGGCUGAGCUACUUUGUUUAUAGGAGUAUGUCAAUUAAUGUAAAAGGUAGGAAAUUUGACUUCUGGCAAAACAACGUUUUCGCUCAGAAGUGAAAAUCAGCCUCUUAAUAGGUAUUAAGUAUGUAAAAGAUAGAGUAUGCCUCCUUCUGGACUAAGUUAGUUUAGCAUAUUUUAAGAAUUUAGAAGCUAGUUUAAAAUACUAUCUUAGUAAAAUUGAUAAAUGCAAAGGUGAAAUUUAUAUAUUCUACUUCGUUAAUAUGUAGCCUUCACAGUGUAUAUUCAAAUGUGUUUUUAGGACUAUGACACUUAACCACCUUUUGGUCAUAGACUUCUUUGCAAGAGUGAUAAAAACUAUGGACUAGUGUAGAAAAAUUCUAUACACAAUUUCUGGGGCUUACUGAAGGCCAUUGUGGAUGCAGGUUAAGAACCCUGACUUUAAGGUGUUGACUAUACAAAUAUGUUAAACAUGAUAUGAUACACACUGUCAUUUUCUAAAAUAUAAGUGGAUUUUAGAAUGUGAGUGUUAGUUAUGGACCCUUGAUAUAAACACAAAUUUAGACAAACAACCUCAUUCAUAAUUAAUAAGUAGAUUUGCCUCUUUAUAGCACAUUUUAAAUUGGCAUAACAUUAUUUUAAAUUGAAGAUAAAUGUUUUUGACUGUCACAAGUUUAUCUGGGAAAGUAAGACUACUGUUUUAGUUUCUCAGAUUGAUUUGUUAAGAUGAAUAGUUCUGUUUGUUAAGUAUUUCUGGAUCAUUAAGAUAUUUUGUAUGUGUUUCUAGUCCUCCGAUCAGCCCCAGGAGGUAUGGAUGUUACCUUUCCCCGAUUGGAGAUGAGAGAACCAAACCUUGGAGUUUAUGUAACUUGCCCAAGAUCACAGCCACUAAGUAGCUGCUUGACCCCAAAGCCAUUGCCUAUACUGGUGUGUUGACCUGAAAUCAGUUUCUUAGAGUAUAUUUUGUUCAAGUUGAAUUAUGACUUUUAAUCACCAUAGUUUUUAAUGGUGAGGAGAGUAGUUCUAGCUUCAGAUUGAGUUAGUAUGUGAAUAAAGAUAGAAAGUAGAUGUAAAAGUAUGUUAUUUUUUUAAGAAGAAUUAUCUGAAAGAACAAAUUCAGGUAGUUUUAACUAACAGCAUCUUGUUUAAGAUGCUGUUAAAAAUGUAAUAUUGCCCGUUGCAGCUCAAGAUACUGAGCAUCCACAUCUACUAUGUACUUGACUCUUUUUUAUUGUAUCGAAUCCCUCUUAAUAGCUCUAAGAUUUGUCUGAUUUUUGUAAACUAAAAUAACAAAGGCUCAGAGAUUACAUGGUAUGUCUAAAGAUGUGGUAAAUUCAGAGCCAGGAUUCAAACCAGGUGUCUGAUUCUGAAGUACGGUUUAACUGUAGAGGGAAAAAUCUCAAGAACUGAAAAUACGCUGACUAGUUAAUCCUACUCCUCUCUUUUUCCCAGUAGUCAAGCAUCUUAUAGUUGUGAUCAGAGAACAGGUGAGGGUUUUUACAGUCUUAUUUCUUAAUGAACAUUUCCAUGGGUCCUCAUAAUCUGUAAGUUCUAGUAUAUGGAUUGUGUUCUCUGUUUCUGAAAGCUUGCUUAAUUAAACAUUGCUUCUCAGCUGUUAGAUUUUAGUAUCUAAAAAUUUGUUGUAAUCAGUACUUCCUUAAAAACUGCAGGCUGAGAACCAUCAGUGGAUGGUAAAAUCAAUUUGUUAUGUAUAAGAAAAUAGAAAAUACAAGAGAGAGUAAGGGAUAGUGUUGAUUUGUGAACAAUAUAAGGAUUAUAUUAAUAUUACUUGUUUAUAGACAUGUAUAAGUACUGUUUAGAAAUAUAAAAUACUUUUCUUGGUGUGGAUCAUGGAAAGGUAGAAACUGCUGCUCUAAGAAUAGCGAUGCUACAUAGUAGAUAUCUGGUCUUGCUCCUCACCCAUAAACAUCCAACUUUUAGAUUACAUUUGUGUAUGUAUCCCCCAAAACUGAGCGUUUUAGUAGUCUUAGGUAUGUAAGUUGCCAGAUUGCUUUUCUACCAAUAUGGUACCUUUUUACAUGGCUGGAUCAAGAAAACUAGUACAAAGUAAGCAUGCCACACUCACCAAGAUUGAAUAAUGAAUACAUUUGGACUCGACGUUUAUUUCAUUUUCUAUUACUCUGAUAAAGAUUCAGACACGUUUUAAUUGAGAAAAUUGGUCCGGAGUUGAGGGUUGGGGUAGAAGUGCCGGCGUUCCACUGUACCAGCGGUUUCACUGUUGGCUGUUAUUCUUCUAAAAAUAAGAACUGUCCUGGUUCUAGGGUAAGAUUUUAGUUUGUAAAGGCUUGACUUUUUAGGGACAGUUGUCUGCAUCUUCAUACCUUGAAUCGUCCAGCCUUGCAGAAUUGAAAGGGCCUCAGGUAUAGUAAGUUUGGAGAUUCAGUGCUAUCUCCUGUAAUUUGGGGCAAGUUAGUAAAAUUUUUAGCACCAGUUUCACCUUGUAACAUAGAGAUGAUGAGACUAUCAAAUAACGUGGCACCCAUGAAGGGCUUGACAUGGGGCCUUAUGUAUGUUGGAUGUGUGGUAAACCUUAUUCUUACAGAUCAUUUAGUCCAAUGUGAUGAUGUUACAGCUGGGAAAGCUGAGGGGCUAGAAGAUCUCAGUUGCUUACACCAGGUUUCAGUGGCAGUGAGUGAGCAGGGCCAGGAUUUGAACCUUGGUUUUUUUUUUCACUCUAAAUGAGUAAUGCUGCUAUGAACAUUCACGUACAAGUUUUUCUGUUUAAUUCUCUUGGGAAUAUACCUAUGAGUAGAAUUACUGAGUCAUGUGAUAACUAUUUAACUUAUCAAUGAACUGCUAAAUUUUUCCAAAGCACCUGCAUCAUUUUACAUGCCCACCAACAGUAUAUGAGGGUUCUGAUUUCUCCACAUCCUUGCCACCACUUACUUGUCUUUUUGAUCUGUCUUUUUGAUUAUAGCCAGCCCAGUGGGUCUGGUUUUCCGUAAUAACUGAUAAAUGAUGUUGAGCAUCUUUGUAUAUACUUAUUGGCCAUUUGUGCUUAUGAACCAUAUUUUUGGAGAAAUGUCCAUUCAAAUCUUUUGCCCUUUUAAAAAAUAGGUUGUCUUAAGUUACUUUUACAUAUGGUGUGAGUUGUAUGAGUUCUUUAUAUAUUUUGGAUAUGAAUUCCUUGUUGGAUAUAUGAUUUGCAAAUAUUUUCUCCCAGUUGGUGGGUUUUCUUUUUGCUUUGUUUCUGGUUCCCUUAGCCUUUCAGAAGCUCUUUAGUCUGAUGUAGUCCCAUUUGUUUUUUCUUUUGUUUCCCAUGCCUGAAUAGACGUGGUAUUCGAAAAGAUGCUGCUAAGAUUGAUGUCAGAGUGUACUGCCCAUAUUUUCUUCUAGGACUUUUAUGGUUUCAGGUCUCAUAUUCAAGGAUUUAAUUCAUUUUGAGUUAAUUUUUGUGUGUGGUGUAAGAUAGUGGCGUACUUUCAUUCUUUUGUAUGUGGCUGUCCAGUUUUCCCAACACCAUUUAUUGAAGAGACAUUCCUUUCUCCAUUGUAUGUUCUUAGCUCGUUUGUCGAAGACUAGCUGUCCACAGAUGUGCUGUUUUAUUUCUGGGCCCUCAAGUCUGUUCCAUUGGUCUGUGUGUCUGCUUUUGUGCCAGUACUGUACUGUUUUGAAUACUAUGGCUUUGUAAUAUAUUUUGAAGUCAGGGAUUGUGGUGCCUCCAGCUUUCUUUUUUCUCAGAAUUGCUUUGGCUAAUUGGGGUAUUUUGUUCCAUAUAGAUUUUAGGAUUCUCUGUUCUAUUUCUGUAAAGAAUAUCAUUGGGAUUCUGAUUGGGAUCGCACCGAAUCUGUAGAUUGCUUUGGAGAAUAUGGACAUUUAAACUGUGUUUAUUCUUCCAAUCCAUUCUCAUGGAAUAUCUUUCCAUUUCUUUAUGUCAUCUUCAGUUUCUUUGAAUAAUGUCUUACAAUUUUCAGUGUAUAGGUCUUUCAUCUCCUUGGUUAAAUUAUUCCUAGAUAUUUUAUUCUUUUCAUUGCAAUCUAAGUGAGAUUGUAUUCUUGACUUCUCAUUCUGCUGGUUCAUUAUUAGCAUAUAAAAAUGCAACUGAUUUUUCUAAGUCGAUUUUGUACUCUGCAACUUUGCUGUAGUUGUUGAUUAUUUCUAAUAGUUUUCUGGUGGAUUUUUCAGGGUUUUCUGUAUGUAGGAUCAUGUCAUCUGCAACAGUGAAAAUUUCUCUUCUUCCUUUCCAGUUUGGAUACCUUUUAUUUCUUUUUCUUGCCUAAUUGCUCUGGCCAAAACCUCCAGUACUAUGUUGAAUAGGAGUAGAGAGAGUGGGCACCCUUGUAUUGUUCCUGUUCUCAGAGGGAUGGCUUUCAGUUUUUCACCAGUGAGUGUGAUGUUGGCUGUGGGUUUGUCAUAUACGGCCUUUAUGAUGUUGAGGUACUUUCCUUCUAUACCCAUUUUAUUGAGAGUUUUUUUGUUUUUAUCAUAAAUGGGUGUUGGAUCUUGUCAAAUGUUAUCUCUGCAUCUAUUGAGAUGAUCAUGUAGUUUUUAUUCCUCAUUUUGUUAAUGUGGUGUAUCAAAUUGAUUGACUUGUGGAUGUUGAACCAUCCUUGUGUCCCUGGUAUAAAUCCCACUUGAUCAUGAUGUAUGAUCCUUUUAAUGUAUUGCUGUAUUUGGUUUGCCAAUAUUUUGUUGAGGAUUUUUGCAUCUAUGUUCAUCGGUGAUAGUGACCUGUAGCUCUCCUUCUUUGUGCUUUCCUUGUCUGGUUUUGGUAUCAGGAUAAUGUUGGUCUCAUAGAAUGAGUUAGAAAAUGUUCCAUCUUCUUCCAUUUUUUUGAAUAGUUUGAUAAGGAUAAGUAUUAAAUCUUUUUUGAAUGUUUGGUAGAGUUCUCCAGAGAAGCCAUCUGGUCCUGGACUUUUUUUGGGGAGGUUUUUGAUUACUGUUUCAAUGUCUUUACUUGUGAUUGGUGUAUUCAGAUUCUCUAUAUCUUCUUGAUUCAGUUUUGGGAGGUUGUUGAAUUUAUCUGUUUCUUCUAGGUUAUCCAAUUUGUGGACAUACAGUUUUUCAUAGUAUUCUUUUAGAAAUCUAUGUAUUUCUGUAUUUUCCAUUUUAAUUUCUCCUCUUUCAUUUCUAAUUUUAUUUAUUUGAGACUUUUCUGGUUUUUUCUUAGUCUGGCUAAGGGCUUGUCAAUUUUGUUUAUCUUCUCAAAGAACUAGCUCUUAGUUACAUUGACUCUUUCUACUGGUUUUUGUUUUUUGUCUCAAUUUCAUUUAUUUCUGCUCUAAUUUUUAUUAUUUACCCCCUUCUGCUGACUUUGGGCUUUUUUUUUUUUUUUUUUUUGAGCAAGAUUAGCCCUGAGCUAACUACUGCCAAUCCUCUUUUUGCUGAGGAAGACUGGCCCUGAGCUAACAUCCA